This is a small nucleolar RNA of Ailuropoda melanoleuca (giant panda), 135 nucleotides long. The record is from Ensembl. NCBI's taxonomy places the organism in Eukaryota, Metazoa, Chordata, Mammalia, Carnivora, Ursidae.
AGCCUCAUUCUAGAUGGAAAUGGGCACUGUCGUUCUUGGUGUCCAGAAAUUGUUAAUGUGGCUACAUUGAGACACAGGUUAUGCUUCCAUCACAACAAGUUUAUUGCUGUGGUGACAAUGAGGCCUGUAACAUUU